UACGGGGGGGGCAAGCGUUGUUCGGAAUUACUGGGCGUAAAGGGCUCGUAGGCGGCCAACUAAGUCGGAUGUGAAAUCCCCAGGCUUAACCUGGGAACUGCAUCCGAUACUGGAUGGCUUGAAUCCGGGGGAGGGAUGCAGAAUUCCAGGUGUAGCGGUGAAAUGCGUAGAUAUCUGGAGGAAUACCGGUGGCGAAGGCGGCAUCCUGGACCGGCAUUGACGCUGAGGAGCGAAAGCUAGGGGAGCAAACGGG
Molecule: ribosomal RNA, 253 nt
Filed under: uncultured bacterium
Lineage: Bacteria
Description: partial 16S ribosomal RNA
Rfam family: Bacterial small subunit ribosomal RNA
Source: RNAcentral